This 484-nucleotide ribosomal RNA is filed under the name uncultured bacterium. Its description in RNAcentral is "partial 16S ribosomal RNA". It matches the Rfam family "Bacterial small subunit ribosomal RNA", at positions 30 to 507 of the family's 1533-position model. The record is from RNAcentral.
AUUGAACGCUGGCGGCAGGCCUAACACAUGCAAGUCGAGCGGAUGAAGGGAGCUUGCUCCUGGAUUCAGCGGCGGACGGGUGAGUAAUGCCUAGGAAUCUGCCUGGUAGUGGGGGAUAACGUCCGGAAACGGGCGCUAAUACCGCAUACGUCCUGAGGGAGAAAGUGGGGGAUCUUCGGACCUCACGCUAUCAGAUGAGCCUAGGUCGGAUUAGCUAGUUGGUGGGGUAAAGGCCUACCAAGGCGACGAUCCGUAACUGGUCUGAGAGGAUGAUCAGUCACACUGGAACUGAGACACGGUCCAGACUCCUACGGGAGGCAGCAGUGGGGAAUAUUGGACAAUGGGCGAAAGCCUGAUCCAGCCAUGCCGCGUGUGUGAAGAAGGUCUUCGGAUUGUAAAGCACUUUAAGUUGGGAGGAAGGGCAGUAAGUUAAUACCUUGCUGUUUUGAGGUUACCAACAGAAUAAGCACCGGCUAAGUUCGUG